UCUCCCUAAUUGAGCCACGUAGCUGUCACAACAUUGGAGAACUGUCUGUUUAUAUUUCUUAUAUAUCAAACUGAAACUUAGUAGUAAACCUAGUAUACUGCUACAUAAUCUUUUUAUUUUGUGUAGCAAGAAUGGAUUUUGGUGAAUUAUCUAUUUUGAUCAACAGUCUACUGCAGAGGAUUGACACCAGACAGAAGAGACACCAGCACAGCUCCUGGAACCCCUUUUCCUUGAAUCACUUGAUCAAGAUUUCCCUAAUCAGGGAAUGGCGAGCCACUCAAUUGCAUACAGAAGAUUUGAACAUGUCCCUCAGGAUAUCCGCCUAUGCGGCAGGACUGACACAACUUGUGGGUCAUGGAAGGAAACCGAGAUGAGAUUAACAUGGAAUUAAGGAUUGAAGAAAUUGUUGAAAUUGGGAGCACUGAUCUGUCAUCAGGACACACAAGUGGUAGUGAAUAUGUUUCAUCCAGUGGGAGUUCUGACUCUGAUGCCAUCUAUAUGGACUCUGACAGCACUUGUGAAGCAAAAGACUAAGAAAAAGCCCAAAAGUCCAUAAAUGAAGAUGGUAGGUCAGACAAUGUAAAAGUGAAUGUUAAAAAGUGCACAAAAAAAGAAGGAGGGAAGAGAGAGUGAGAUAAGAAAAACUUUUUUUGUAUACUGUGGUACAGAGAAAAGCAAACUGGGAAGACAUCUCGAGAGAAAAUAUGCAAAAGAAACUGAAGUAGAACAAGCAUUAUCAAAAACUAAGGGGACAAAGGCAUGACAGAUUACUUGGACAACUACGAAAUAAAGGGAAUUUCCACUAUAGUACCGAAAUCAAGACUAUCUGCUAUGAUAGUAUUGCGAUGGGUUUUUUAAAAGAAAGGAAUUGUGAAAAGCAUAACCUAGUCUUUUCUGCAUUUUUGAAAAAGACAACAUUUCAAGGAAACCGAAGAGAGUCCAAGCUGUAGCACCUCGAAGUACACCAUGUAAACCUGCCGUGUCUGAAGGGUGUAAAUGCAUCAUUCUGAGCAUGCAUCAAGAUGACCUCUCUAAUCAGGUGAAGUCAGACACUCUCAUCUAUAAAUAUGAAGAAAUGAUGUUUGAGCUCCAUGGACAGGACAAAUCGCAGCACAAUUACAUCAGUCAGAAAAUGCGGGAGUUGGGGAGGUUUAUGCUGGCAGUAAAGAAGCUUAACCCUGCUGUACAACGUCUAGUGGAUGUUUUGUGUGCCAACAAGAUUUCAGCUAGCAGUAUCGGCAGCAAUGGAAGCAAGUGGGUUUGAUCCAUAAAAAACAGAUGAGACACCCCAUCUUUAGCUUGUAAAAUUGGGGACACCCUCAAGAAAGUCUGUGAAAUUGUGAUAGGCGAGAGUCUGAUCAAGGAAGACCGUGAGGCAGGACAGAAGGCCAAGAAUUUCAUCAGGUUGCUUCACUCUGACUGGAACACAUUUGUUUCAAAACGAGCUAGUACCAACCUUGAACAAAACAAAUGGAACAAAGCUGAUGUUCUUCCACCGACUGAAGAUGAUGUCAGGUUGCACAAACACCUCAAAAUUUUGGAAGAUCAGUCAAAAGAACAAUUAACCAAGAGCUCAGAUCCUGUGGCAUGGAGAAAUCUUUCAGAAAGUGUUCUAGCGCAAAUAAUAUUGUUUAACAGGAGACGAGAAGGUGAAGCUGGAAAGCUGUUCGUAGAAACAUACCAGAAAUGAAACACAGCUCCACUGAAUCCUGAGGUCUUGCAGAGUUUAUCCAAGCUGGAACAAGAUUUUGCCACCAUUGCCCCAAAUAUACACAAAUCUGAUACGUCCAUGAAUCAAUGAAACACUAUUGGUGUUUCUAUAACACCUCAGUACAAGCAGAAAACACAAAUUUUUACCCUCUCCAAGUUACUGAAGGUGCCAGAAUCCCAUUCAGAUACUGAUAUUUAGAGCAGUAAAUGAUGUACUGUAGUUACUGUUGCAGCCCAACUAUGUAUUAUUCGAAUUCCUUAUAAAGUCCUUUUCUACUA
Long non-coding RNA from Ictalurus punctatus (channel catfish), 1989 nucleotides. RefSeq lists it as uncharacterized. The transcript is spliced from 4 exons. The record is from RefSeq and is a predicted model, not a curated record. NCBI's taxonomy places the organism in Eukaryota, Metazoa, Chordata, Actinopteri, Siluriformes, Ictaluridae.